This 472-nucleotide unclassified non-coding RNA is filed under the name Hevea brasiliensis (rubber tree). Lineage: Eukaryota; Viridiplantae; Streptophyta; Magnoliopsida; Malpighiales; Euphorbiaceae. The record is from RNAcentral.
CACUAGUGACACCUUUGGCAUCCCUCUCCUUGAAGAGUUGCAGUAAAACGAAAAGAACUGAAAAUUAAAGAUAAUAGGCAACUAUGAAUAAUUCCAAAAAUUCUUUCCCCUUGACUGACACACUCAUCCAUGAAUAAAUUAAACAUCACAAAUCACAACCCUGUCAAAAUAGUUUUCCAUUGGCCUGAUUAAAACUCCCUUAGCUCUGGCUUUCUUAAUUUCUUGUCUGAGUGAUGUAGAACCAAUAGACCACGCUCAAAGAAGAAACAAUGCUCUCAAAUUUAUUUAAUUCUCAAUUGUCUAAUACAAAAAUCUAAUGUUAGAAACCCUUCACAAAACUUAUGUACAGAAAUAACCCCCACACUCAAAGAAGAAACAAUGCUCUCAAAUUUAUUUAAUUCUCAAUUGUCUAAUACAAAAAUCUAAUGUUAGAAACCCUUCACAAAACUUAUGUACAGAAAUAACCCCCACA